RNAcentral lists this ribosomal RNA (524 nucleotides) under Aggregatibacter kilianii. Its description in RNAcentral is "bacterial SSU rRNA". It matches the Rfam family "Bacterial small subunit ribosomal RNA", at positions 38 to 551 of the family's 1533-position model. Lineage: Bacteria; Pseudomonadati; Pseudomonadota; Gammaproteobacteria; Pasteurellales; Pasteurellaceae. The record is from RNAcentral.
GGCGGCAGGCUUAACACAUGCAAGUCGAACGGUAGCAGGUAAGUACUUGUACUUAUGCUGACGAGUGGCGGACGGGUGAGUAAUGCUUGGGGAUCUGGCUUAUGGAGGGGGAUAACGACGGGAAACUGUCGCUAAUACCGCGUAGAAUCGAGAGAUGAAAGUGUGGGACCUUCGGGCCACAUGCCAUAGGAUGAACCCAAGUGGGAUUAGGUAGUUGGUAGGGUAAUGGCCUACCAAGCCGACGAUCCCUAGCUGGUCUGAGAGGAUGACCAGCCACACCGGGACUGAGACACGGCCCGGACUCCUACGGGAGGCAGCAGUGGGGAAUAUUGCGCAAUGGGGGCAACCCUGACGCAGCCAUGCCGCGUGAAUGAAGAAGGCCUUCGGGUUGUAAAGUUCUUUCGGUGACGAGGAAGGCGUGAUGUUUAAUAGGCAUCACGAUUGACGUUAAUCACAGAAGAAGCACCGGCUAACUCCGUGCCAGCAGCCGCGGUAAUACGGAGGGUGCGAGCGUUAAUCGGAAU